Molecule: unclassified non-coding RNA, 154 nt
Filed under: uncultured Xylariaceae
Lineage: Eukaryota; Fungi; Ascomycota; Sordariomycetes; Xylariales; Xylariaceae
Description: sequence contains ITS2
Source: RNAcentral
CAACCCCUCAAGCCCUGCUUGGUGUUGGGGCCCCUACGUGCGCCGUAGGCCCCGAAUUCCAGUGGCGGGCUCGCCGCGAACCCGAGCGUAGUAGCUUUUGCCUCGCUCAGGGCCCGCGGCGGGCGCCUGCCGUGAAAGAACACACUAUUCUAAA